GCCGGUGUAGCAUAGUGGUGGUGCAGUUCAUUGGUAAUGAACAGGUCGGGAGUUCAAAUCUCCCCACCGGCU
This 72-nucleotide transfer RNA is filed under the name Candidatus Iainarchaeum sp. Its description in RNAcentral is "tRNA-Thr". It matches the Rfam family "tRNA". From Rfam's summary of the family: Transfer RNA (tRNA) molecules are approximately 80 nucleotides in length. Their secondary structure includes four short double-helical elements and three loops (D, anti-codon, and T loops). The record is from RNAcentral. Lineage: Archaea; Nanobdellati; Candidatus Iainarchaeota; Candidatus Iainarchaeia; Candidatus Iainarchaeales; Candidatus Iainarchaeaceae.